This 1323-nucleotide long non-coding RNA is filed under the name Homo sapiens (human). RNAcentral describes it as "HSALNT0063502". The record is from RNAcentral. Lineage: Eukaryota; Metazoa; Chordata; Mammalia; Primates; Hominidae.
UGGCUGGCUGCUCCAAGUGCAGGGCCCGCCAAGACCACGCCCACCCGGAACUCCAGCUGACAGCGAGUGGGAACGCAGCGAGUGGGAACGCAGCCCCAGUUGCCACUCACGCCUCUCCCUCCACACCUCCCUGCAAGCUGAGGGAGCCGGCUCCGGCCUUGGCCAGCCCAGAAAGGGGCUCCCACAGUGCAGCGGUGGGCUGAAGGGCUCCUCAAGUGCCCCCAAAGUGGGAGCCCAGGCAGAGGAGGCCCCGAGAGCGAGCAAGGGCUCUGAGGACUGCCAGCACGCUGUCACCUCUCAAAACCACCUCACUUGGUUGUAGGAGGUCAUUGAAGAUUGCCUGGAGGAAGCCAUGUUCAAUGGGCACAUUUGUAGAAUGAUGUGAGCCAGAGUAUGGGGUACUGAAGCAGAAAAGGAUGCCCUUCAAUUUGAUAGAAAAGCACUACAUGAAUCCCUGUAAGACUCCACAAAUUAAACUAGGAGCUGUGUCAACCUGCUCUCUGUUUUACAUCCAUGUGGGAGGGUCUACGAGCACUCAUGUGGACAGUGUCUCUGUGCAUCUGUUUAAGAAAUUUUUGCCUACACUGAAGUCACAAGAAUGCUCUCCAAUGUGUUCUUUAAAAAGUCUUAUAGCUUUACUUUUAACAUUUAGACCCGUGAUAAGUUUGGAAUUAUUUUGUGUUUACAGUGUUAGAUAGGGUUAUCUAACUAACACAAUCAUUUUUUGAAAAUAUUUCUGUACAUGACUUUACUCUUGCCUUUGUAAUAAAUCAUUUGAUUAUAUAGGUAUGAGUCUGCCUCUGGAAUCUAUUUUGUUCUAUUGGUCAGUGUCUAUUGUUUUAACUACUUCACAGACAUUAAGCACCUUUAUCCUCACAAUGACACAGAAAUAAUUAUUAUUAACCCCAUAUUAUAAUUAAGGAAACUGAGGCAGUGAGAUGUUAAGUAACUUGGCCAAAGUCACAUUGCUGAGGCAACAGCAAAUCCAGUCUUUUAAGCUCUGGUAGAAAAAAAUGCAACCUGAGCUAUGGGUUGAAAUGGGAAGAGAGUAGAUUGAAGAAAUGAUUGUGAGAAAAUAAAAACUCAAUAGCAAAAAAAAUUUACACACUAAUAGUUGUGAAGUAUAAAAUUAAAAUGGCAUAAAACUCAGUGUUCUUUCAACUUCAUCAAUCUGUAUUUCCAUCUCAAGAUAAACCUUAUCCUUAUCUUUUGAGACCUUAACUCACUCACCUAUAGCAUUUCUGUAGAGAAAUUAUAUACUUUAUAUGGUCACCCUUGAAGGAGAGGUCAAAUAAAAUACUGAAAAGUAACUGUAGAUAUUAG